This 459-nucleotide ribosomal RNA is filed under the name uncultured bacterium. Its description in RNAcentral is "partial 16S ribosomal RNA". It matches the Rfam family "Bacterial small subunit ribosomal RNA", at positions 338 to 795 of the family's 1533-position model. The record is from RNAcentral.
CCUACGGGAGGCAGCAGUGAGGAAUAUUGGUCAAUGGCCGGAAGGCUGAACCAGCCAAGUCGCGUGAGGGACGACUGCCCUAUGGGUUGUAAACCUCUUUUAUAAGGGAAGAAUAAAUGCUACGUGUAGCAUGAUGCCUGUACCUUAUGAAUAAGCAUCGGCUAACUCCGUGCCAGCAGCCGCGGUAAUAGGGAGGAUGCGUGCGUUAUCCGGAUUUAUUGGGUUUAAAGGGUGCGUAGGCGGUUUUUUAAGUUAGUGGUUAAACGUCGGGGCUUCACCUUGAUUUGCCAUUAAUACUGUAGGACUCGAGUUCAGACGAGGUAGGCGGAAUAAGUUAAGUAGCGGUGGAAUGCUUAGAUAUAACUUAGAACACCGAUAGCGAAGGCAGCUUACCAGACUGCGACUGACGCUGAAGCACGAGAGCAUGGGUAGCAAACAGGAUUAGAUACCCGAGUAGUC